GGUAGCAGCGUUCGGACGGGAUAAGCGCUGAAAGCAUCUAAGCGCGAAGCCCACCUCAAGAUGAGAUUUCCUAUAAGGGUCGUGGGAGACUACCACGUUGAUAGGCUGCAGGUGUAAGCACAGCGAUGUGUUCAGCCGAGCAGUACUAAUAGCCCGAAAGCUUUCUGUAG
RNAcentral lists this ribosomal RNA (170 nucleotides) under Paludibacteraceae bacterium. Its description in RNAcentral is "partial 23S ribosomal RNA". It matches the Rfam family "Bacterial large subunit ribosomal RNA", at positions 2744 to 2925 of the family's 2925-position model. Lineage: Bacteria; Pseudomonadati; Bacteroidota; Bacteroidia; Bacteroidales; Paludibacteraceae. The record is from RNAcentral.